RNAcentral lists this ribosomal RNA (753 nucleotides) under uncultured Enterobacteriaceae bacterium. RNAcentral describes it as "bacterial SSU rRNA". It matches the Rfam family "Bacterial small subunit ribosomal RNA", at positions 1 to 749 of the family's 1533-position model. Lineage: Bacteria; Pseudomonadati; Pseudomonadota; Gammaproteobacteria; Enterobacterales; Enterobacteriaceae. The record is from RNAcentral.
UAGAGUUUGAUCCUGGCUCAGAUUGAACGCUGGCGGCAGGCCUAACACAUGCAAGUCGAACGGUAACAGGAAGCAGCUUGCUGCUUCGCUGACGAGUGGCGGACGGGUGAGUAAUGUCUGGGAAACUGCCUGAUGGAGGGGGAUAACUACUGGAAACGGUAGCUAAUACCGCAUAACGUCGCAAGACCAAAGAGGGGGACCUUCGGGCCUCUUGCCAUCGGAUGUGCCCAGAUGGGAUUAGCUAGUAGGUGGGGUAACGGCUCACCUAGGCGACGAUCCCUAGCUGGUCUGAGAGGAUGACCAGCCACACUGGAACUGAGACACGGUCCAGACUCCUACGGGAGGCAGCAGUGGGGAAUAUUGCACAAUGGGCGCAAGCCUGAUGCAGCCAUGCCGCGUGUAUGAAGAAGGCCUUCGGGUUGUAAAGUACUUUCAGCGGGGAGGAAGGUGUUGAGGUUAAUAACCUCAGCAAUUGACGUUACCCGCAGAAGAAGCACCGGCUAACUCCGUGCCAGCAGCCGCGGUAAUACGGAGGGUGCAAGCGUUAAUCGGAAUUACUGGGCGUAAAGCGCACGCAGGCGGUCUGUCAAGUCGGAUGUGAAAUCCCCGGGCUCAACCUGGGAACUGCAUUCGAAACUGGCAGGCUAGAGUCUUGUAGAGGGGGGUAGAAUUCCAGGUGUAGCGGUGAAAUGCGUAGAGAUCUGGAGGAAUACCGGUGGCGAAGGCGGCCCCCUGGACAAAGACUGACGCUCA